GACGAACGCUGGCGGCGUGCUUAAUACAUGCAAGUCGAACGGAAAGGCCCUGCUCUUGCGGGGUGCUCGAUUGCCGAACGGGUGAGUAACACGUGAGUAACCUGCCCCUGUCUUUGGGAUAUCUCCAGGAAAAUCGGGCUAAUACCGGAUAGGAGCUCCUGCUGCACGGUGGGGGAUGGAAAGUUUCGGCGGUUGGGGAUGGACUGGCUGCUUAUCAGCUUGUUGGUGGGGUUGGGGCUUACCAGGGCUUUGACGGGUAGCCGGCCUGGGAGGGUGACCGGCCACAUUGGGACUGAGGUACGGAGCAGUCGGCUACGUGAGGCAGCAGUGGGGAAUAUUGCACAAUGGGCGGGAGCGUGAGGCAGCAGCGCCGCGUGCGGGAUGACGGGCUUCGAGUUGUAAACCGCUUUCUCCUGAGACGAGGCGUGAGUGACGGUAAUGAGUAAAGAAGCACCGGCUAACUACGUG
This 468-nucleotide ribosomal RNA is filed under the name uncultured bacterium. Its description in RNAcentral is "partial 16S ribosomal RNA". It matches the Rfam family "Bacterial small subunit ribosomal RNA", at positions 28 to 507 of the family's 1533-position model. The record is from RNAcentral.